This 72-nucleotide transfer RNA is filed under the name Mus musculus (house mouse). It matches the Rfam family "tRNA". Rfam says of the family: Transfer RNA (tRNA) molecules are approximately 80 nucleotides in length. Lineage: Eukaryota; Metazoa; Chordata; Mammalia; Rodentia; Muridae. The record is from Rfam by way of RNAcentral.
AGAGAUGUAGCUCAGUGCUAGAGUGCGUGCUUAGCGUGCUCGAGGUCCUGGGUUGGGUCCCUAGUAUUUCAA